Molecule: ribosomal RNA, 468 nt
Filed under: uncultured bacterium
Lineage: Bacteria
Description: partial 16S ribosomal RNA
Rfam family: Bacterial small subunit ribosomal RNA
Source: RNAcentral
GACGAACGCUGGCGGCGUGCUUAACACAUGCAAGUCGAACGGAAAGGCCCUGCUUUUGUGGGGUGCUCGAGUGGCGAACGGGUGAGUAACACGUGAGUAACCUGCCCUUGACUUUGGGAUAACUUCAGGAAACUGGGGCUAAUACCGGAUAGGAGCUCCUGCUGCAUGGUGGGGGUUGGAAAGUUUCGGCGGUUGGGGAUGGACUCGCGGCUUAUCAGCUUGUUUGUGGGGUAGUGGCUUACCAAGGCUUUGACGGGUAGCCGGCCUGAGAGGGUGACCGGCCACAUUGGGACUGAGAUACGGCACAGAAGCCUACGGGAGGCAGCAGUGGGGAAUAUUGAACAAUGGGCGGAAGCCUGAUGCAGCAACGCCGCGUGCGGGAUGACGGCCUUCGGGUUGUAAACCGCUUUCGCCUGUGACGAAGCGUGAGUGACGGUAAUGGGUAAAGAAGCACCGGCUAACUACGUG